AAUCAUUCUGCUGAAUAGUAGCUGAGAUCAGAUGACCCCGGAUGCUGGGGAAGGCUGUAUAUUAAAAUCUGCUUGUUGGGUUCUGUAGCAGAAGAAGUUGUCCUGUCUCACAGCAAGAUAGCCAGCAGACCCAGUGCCACCAGCCAAUCUUGCUCCAUCUUUUGGAAUGGACACUGGAUGAAAUGAAAUACUCCAGUUCAGCUGCUCAUCAUAAAAUUUCAUUGAAUCCUCAUUGUACUGCUAGGACUCAAAAGGAGGAUAAGUUUCAAAACCUGAAAUCAUGCAAGAUCAUGCUCAGCUCCUGUGGUUUGAACUUCAGAGCAUCUAUAACGUCAACAGUCCUUACAGAAGAAUGUCUUCCUCUUUCCUGAGAAGCCCCUGAGGCCCUGCUUUCAUUCAUUGGGGCCAUUAAUUCAUGAUCCUCUGUCUUUGGCAGGAGCACAGUCUGAUAACAGCUUCAGGAUCAAGACUUUCCAGUUCCUGAGGAUGGAGGCUGGAACCUCAGAGGGGCCCAGGCAUCAGUGUGCAACCAGUGUUGAGAACCACUGCUUUGGAAGGUUGUCACAGAAGCUCAGGUAAGAGAUGAUGGACCUCUGGAUGAGGAGAGUGGCAAUGGAGAUGAAUUUGAGAUUUAUUUUGAGAUAGAACAGACA
Long non-coding RNA from Lutra lutra (Eurasian river otter), 653 nucleotides. RefSeq lists it as uncharacterized. The record is from RefSeq and is a predicted model, not a curated record. NCBI's taxonomy places the organism in Eukaryota, Metazoa, Chordata, Mammalia, Carnivora, Mustelidae. The transcript is spliced from 5 exons.